UAAGAUGGGUGAAUAAGCGGUGGAUUGUAGCUCCACAGAUAAAGGUUAAAAUCCUUUUCUUAU
Molecule: transfer RNA, 63 nt
Filed under: Austrofundulus myersi
Lineage: Eukaryota; Metazoa; Chordata; Actinopteri; Cyprinodontiformes; Rivulidae
Description: tRNA-Tyr
Rfam family: tRNA
About the family: Transfer RNA (tRNA) molecules are approximately 80 nucleotides in length.
Source: RNAcentral